CAUAAACAGUUUCUAACUUGCUCUCUCUUGGAUUACUAGUUCUGGGAAAAGUUAACAACCACGUCAAGAUGACAAACAGCCUUAGGAAGAGGUCUAGUGGUGAUUAACUGAGGCCUUCUGCCAAUAACAAGAACUAACUUGCCAGGCAUGUGAGUGAGAUGCCCUGGGAGCAGAUCCCCCAGCCUUAGUCGAGCCUUCAGAUGACCAGCACCAGUGACACUUGACUGGACCUGAUGAGAGACACUGAGUCAUCACUACCCAGCUAAGCUGCUCCCACCUUGACCCACGGAAACUGUGUCUCUGAAGUGCCAUGACCUACACUAGGUGCAGGGACUCUGCAUGAAGACUUGCGAGACUUCUUGAGUUCAAAUCCCAGCUCUGCCACUACUCUAUGAACCUGUGCAAAUUAAAAACACUCUGUGCUUUGGUUUUCCCCAAGCAAAAGGCCGGAGGCGGCACACCUGCACCUUCGCAUCUUAUCAAUCCACUGCGUCCCGGGGCCACGGUGCCAGAUUUAAUUUCCUGAAUCGUAGGAGCGACUGAAAAAGAAACAAACAAAGCAAGAAACCAGUGGGAGAAAGAGAAGAAAUAAAGAAGAGGACGAGGAUGAAGGGAAGAGAAAAAAAAAAAAAAGAGGAAUCGCCGAAUAAUAAGAUGAAAAAGCUGCAGUUAGAGAGGUUAAGUAACCUUCCUAAGUUCACUUAGCUGACAAAUUAGAUUCAAAUGCAGAUCUGUGGGACUCAGACAUUUUCAUUACAUAGAUAAACAUAGAUCAUUCUACAAGCAGUCUGGACAUGGCUAUCUCCGCUCAAUUAAUUUCAUCAUGAGAGAAUAUUCUUUUCAUCUCAACGAAGAUACCACUUCUUCUUUGAAGCCCAGCUAAAUUCUUCCAGAAAGACAUCCUCCCUCCGUCCCUCCCGCGUGUUCUCAUCUUGUGGAUCACUUGGGACCUUUGUGAGCACUUGGGGCCACAUCAUGCAGCUUUGGAAUGGAUUUAAAUUCUUUAUGAGUCUUUGAGCAAUUUCCCUAACCUCCAUAAUCCUGUUUACUCAUUGGUAAAAUGGGAAUAACACCUUCACUGUAGAGCUGCUGUGAAGAUUAGAUCAUGAAAAUAAAGCAUUUAGCAAGCGUCUGGCUCAAGAAAGGAACUCAGAAACAAGAAU
This is a long non-coding RNA of Canis lupus familiaris (dog), 1163 nucleotides long. RefSeq lists it as uncharacterized. The transcript is spliced from 5 exons. The record is from RefSeq and is a predicted model, not a curated record. NCBI's taxonomy places the organism in Eukaryota, Metazoa, Chordata, Mammalia, Carnivora, Canidae.